CUCUGCUGGGCCUCGCCUCCCCACUGUCUGCACUCGGAGGCUGGUUUGUUAUGGCAUGAAAAAUGGCUCCGUGGAAUAAAGAUGUUUCCCCUCUGAUGAGCAUAUUUGCAGAAGGAGGAGGACUGACACCAGCCACACGUGUGUCUGCUGCUGACAAACGUGCUCACGCCUUGGAGGGCGGGGCCAGGCAGGACGGAGCCGCCCAUGAUAGGCGGACACCUCCUGGUAACAUUUUCUUCUCUAUCCCUCACACCUGCCCUCUUCAUCACUCAAGGAGCCCUGCUUCUGAAGGUCCCGAGUGGGAAACGCACUAAUGUGCAAAGCACCAUCCUUGUCCUCUUCCAUCCAAUUCCCUGGUGAGUGGGAGAGCUUUCCUCCCUAGGGGCAGACACCAAUUUCACACUUGGAGUUGAGCUUCCUGGCUUUUCUGAGGGCAGUCACAUAAUUAAUUCUUAGAAUUGCCAAAUUAUAUUUGACACUUAAUUUAAAACUCAAGGUUCCAUAAUGCAAAUCUUCUCCUGGCAAGAAGGGUGACAUGCACAUUGAACAUAUAGGCAACCUGACAGGUUGGAGGGGCAGUUCUGUGUAACUCCCAGAGAGGGAAGGGAGCUGAUUUUAUUGAACACCUACUUUAUAUCCAGUGAUUUCCAUUGAUUAGCUCACUUCCUUCCCACAACCCUAUGAGGCAAGUACUGUUACUGCAUCCAUUGUGCAGACGAGGACACCAAGACCCAACACAACUAAUUGACCCAAGGUCAUCCUGUUAGGGAAGAGGCCAAGCUGGGAUUCAUGGUCUUGAGAUCUUGAGAGACCCUUACGUCUUUAUGCGAUUCAAUUCCUCCUUCAAGGAUGGAAGCAGGAAUCCCCCAAAAUGGAAACCUUGGCUGCUCCAUCAGGGUGGGACUCAGAGGCAGCCUCCAGCUGCACAUCACAGAAUGCCUAGCUACAGCAGCUUACAUGGUGUAGGUUACUUUUUCCACAUAACAAGAAACCCAGGGGCAGGGCCGUCCAGGGCUGGUGCAGCACAAUGAUGACUUCAAGAACCCAGACUCUUUCUAUCUUCCUGCUUCACCAUCCUUGCAUUCUAACUUCUUGCAUUUUGGUUGUAAAGUGACCUCUGCAACACCAAGCAUCAUAUCUUCAGUCCAGGAAGGAAAGAGGUUUUAGAGAAAAGGGAUAAAAGGAAUUCCCCCACCCAAGGCUUUGUCUUUUUAUUUGGGAAGAGGACCGUUGCCUAUGAUUGGCCAGAUCCCAUAUCUCUCACCUUCUCCCCACCCAUAUCAGUCAUUGGCCAAGGGAAUGAGUUGUCAUGACUUGUUUAGACCAAU
This 1328-nucleotide long non-coding RNA is filed under the name Macaca fascicularis (crab-eating macaque). RNAcentral describes it as "lncRNA (ENSMFAG00000064640.1)". The record is from RNAcentral. Lineage: Eukaryota; Metazoa; Chordata; Mammalia; Primates; Cercopithecidae.